This 253-nucleotide ribosomal RNA is filed under the name uncultured bacterium. RNAcentral describes it as "partial 16S ribosomal RNA". It matches the Rfam family "Bacterial small subunit ribosomal RNA", at positions 524 to 776 of the family's 1533-position model. The record is from RNAcentral.
UACGUAGGGACCAAGCGUUGUUCGGAUUUACUGGGCGUAAAGGGCGCGUAGGCGGCGCGACAAGUCACUUGUGAAAUCUCUGGGCUUAACUCAGAACGGCCAAGUGAAACUGUUGUGCUAGAGUGCAGAAGGGGCAAUCGGAAUUCUCGGUGUAGCGGUGGAAUGCGCAGAUAUCAGGAGGAACACCAGUGGCGAAGGCGAUGCUCUGGGCCGGUACUGACGCUGAGGAGCGAAAGCAUGGGGAGCGAACAGG